CGGAGGGUGCAAGCGUUAUCCGGAUUCACUGGGUUUAAAGGGUGCGUAGGCGGGCAGGUAAGUCAGUGGUGAAAUCUUUGGGGCUUAACCCCGAAACUGCCGUUGAUACUAUCUGUCUUGAAUACUCGGGAGGUGAGCGGAAUAUGUCAUGUAGCGGUGAAAUGCUUAGAUAUGACAUAGAACACCAAUUGCGAAGGCAGCUCACUACAGAGUCAUUGACGCUGAGGCACGAAAGCGUGGGGAUCAAACAGGAUUAGAUACCCUGGUAGUCCACGCCCUAAACUAUGGAUACUCGACGUGCGCGAUAUGACAGUGCGCGUCUGAGCGAAAGCAUUAAGUAUCCCACCUGGGAAGUACGACCGCAAGGUUG
RNAcentral lists this ribosomal RNA (370 nucleotides) under uncultured organism. RNAcentral's name for it is "bacterial SSU rRNA". It matches the Rfam family "Bacterial small subunit ribosomal RNA", at positions 526 to 896 of the family's 1533-position model. The record is from RNAcentral.